Solanum tuberosum (potato) is the source of this 212-nucleotide non-coding RNA. Lineage: Eukaryota; Viridiplantae; Streptophyta; Magnoliopsida; Solanales; Solanaceae. The record is from Rfam.
ACGAUCUUACUUGAACAAGAUUUGUUCUAUAAGCUUGUAGUAUUGUAUCUUUGAGUUUAAGAAGACAAGAAAUCAAGCCUGGUGGAUGAAUCAUGUCACUAGACCCAGAGUGUUUGGGUCCUAGUGCUGUCGAUGAUCGUUUUCAGCAUCGUAGAUCAUUUCUUAGCACCCAUGGUUGGUGCUAAGAUGGUCUAGUGGUUCUUUAACAAAUU